UCAGGGAACUGGAGCAUUUGUGGAUGGGCCUGGUGCUGGAAAACACAUCCAAGCCGGUGCCAAGAAAGUCAUCAUCACUGCUCCUGCUAAGGGUGCUGAUAUUCCAACCUACGUCCUCGGAGUCAACGAACAAGACUAAGGCCAUGAAGUUGCCAACAUUAUAAGUAAUGCUUCUUGCACCACAAACUGUCUUGCUCCGUUUGUGAAGAUCUUGGAUGAAGAAUUUGGCAUUGUGAAAGGAACAAUGACAACUACACACUCCUACACAGGAGACCAGAGGCUUUUGGAUGCUUCACUUUCAUGUG
Non-coding RNA from Arachis ipaensis, 305 nucleotides. The record is from RefSeq and is a predicted model, not a curated record. Lineage: Eukaryota; Viridiplantae; Streptophyta; Magnoliopsida; Fabales; Fabaceae.